UUGAGACUGUGAAAAUACAUAUGGUAUGUUGUAUCUGAACAGGUUAGCUUACGAGCUAAAGUUACUUAACAUAGGUGAAAGUUAAAACAAAGACGUUUAGCAAACUGUUAAAGCACACAAACUAUCCUUCUGGUUGUUAUCUUUGUAAUGUUUGUGUCUUUUAUCAAAAAGCACUCAGUUCUCUGACACGUAAACAAUCAGCCGGUCGGCCAUGUUGGAUAUACUGGUGAAUCAGUUUUGUACUGAGAAAAUAAAGAUUUUACUAUUAAUAUACCAGAAAUAGCGUUCAAUUGGUAUAAAAUUACAUUUUGUUGUACUAACACACUGUAUUUGGCAAGUAAUAUGACUUUUUAUUUGUUUCUUUUUUUAUCAAAUAUAUGUGUAGUCUCAAUGUGACAAUACGACACCAACAUACUGUUAGCGACUAAAAUGACUGCAGGUUACAUAUGAUAAAACUGUACCGCAAAUCAUUCAAGAAAUAAUUUCAUUUUGUUAAAACGUGCUUACAGCAGCUUUUGGUUUACCUCUGUAGUCUUUGGUUAUUAUUUUAUUUACAAAAUGAAAAAAUCUCAAGGCCAAAGCUAACAUUGGUCACAUUCUGUUCAUGAUAGCAAAAUGUUCGACACAACUGUAUAAAAACUGCUGAAUUCUCACUCUUUUGAAGAAGUCCCGUCUUAACUCUUUCGUUGAGGUCCUGCAGAAAGAAAGUCGCAUGUAGUUGAAGGUUUUUUUCGCUGAAAAUCAUGCUUUUCUGGAAAAUUCUGUGAGAGCUGUGAAAUAUCUGACCGAUCAAAGUUUUGAUUCGAAUCAAAUAUGAUUUUUUUCUAAAUGAUGCACAUUCUAGACAAACCAUGGCAUGUUGGAAUGUUCAGACUCGGUCAGGACACUUAAGCAUCAACAGUCAGAGCUCACUGGAAGAGGUCAAAUACAGGAGAGGUUAACACACAGAGUUAAAAAAAAUGAAGCCUUAUGUUAAUUAAAAAGUUUAAUUUACUCUCACAGAAGGCUCUAUUUUCGUGGCCACCGGCAGCACGGUGUAGGAUGGCGCACCUGCGAAGCAGUGCCCAUACCUUUCUAUUCAUGUGAAAAAAUUGGAAUUUACUCUUACUCUAACUUUUACUUUAACUACAUUUAAAAGCAUUUACUCUUGAAUACUUAAGUACAUUUAAAAGAAAGUAAUUUUUCACUCUUACUUGAGUAACGUAUUGACUGGGCUACUCUUACAUGUAGCGGAGUAAAUUUUGACACACAUAAUGGACACCCAACCUGACCAAAUUAACACAGCUGAAACCGCAUUGAAUAUCCAGUAAAUAAAUAGUCACACAUGAUGAAGUUGACAAGAUAUUUAAUUUGUGUGCCCCCUUUCUCUCGCUUUCUCGUCCUCUUCUUUCUCGCGCAGCUCAACCCGGACAUGUCUCUGUCCUCUCCCCGCCCUGCUGCUACGGCUGCAAGUCUGACCAGAUUAUUUAUUUUAUUUGAAUAAAUUUAUUUUAGUUUAAUAAAUGCAACUUGAUGUGGGUGUCUUUAUUUGUGGAAAAAGGUGUUUGUCUUACUCGUGGGUCCAACCUUACACACACCAAAUCCAUCUGUUCUUAUAUGAGACAGUGUGGAGGAUGCCCUCCGCAGAGCUUACAGCAACACUUGUUAAGGGGCUGCCUUCUGACCCCAUCGUGUGGUAUUGCUGUCUUCAGCCAUCCCUUGAUCUCUUCCACUACUUCAUGAAAAUUGUAAUAUGCCUUGCUGGUGGCGGAUUUAAAAGUGAGGAGAGGAGCUGAUGUGAUUGGUGGACACGGGACUCGGCUAUGUUAAACCUACUCCACACCUUAUGCCCUCCCUCUCUGCUACUGGGGGGAUACUUAUGCCGGGCUGUGCUGUUCACAAAAAUACCAGUGUGCUUGGGCACGCCUCAUUGGCACUGCGAACCUGACUUACGCUGUGCCUGCACCACACCGUCGGCAAGGCAUGAAAAUAGAGCCCAAGUAAGAUUGUCGAGCAAGUGUGGUGAAGUAUGAAGCUGGGGCUUGGAGCUCCAGCUGCCAAUCUGGUCGAUAUAAGUCUAAUUUUCACUCUGCUUUGGCCUUGUUGAAGUCUCAAACAGCUGCUAUGAGCUGCUAACUUUGUCUGUGACUUUUUUUUGACAACCUGGUUGAUGUAAGUCCAAUUUUCACUGAAAUUCAGCCUUGUUCUUGAAGAGCUAGCUACUAAGGAAAAUGUUUGCUGUCCAGCUGCAGCUGCUAACUGCUGCUCCUAUAAACAGAUUUCUUUACGCACAGCCUUGUUUGUUGACUUGUUUGAGCUCUGGUUAGCUCUACAUUCACAUAAAUUUGGCUCUGUUUUGGUCUUAAACAGAACAACUACAAAAAAAGAAAGCAUCUCCUCUCUGGCUGUUACUUGCUGCCAAUCACCGCUGCUAUACAUUGCUAACUAUAAGUAGCUUUGUUUGAUGUCAUUUGUGUGUAACUGCUGCUGUAGUCUGUAGUUGUCUAUAUCUUAGGUUGGCAUCUUUGUUGAUGUAAGUCCAAUAUUCACUUAAAUUUUUUUUUAUUUUUUGGUGCAGAACUACAACUGAGGGAAUAUCUUCUCCCUGGCUGUUGAUUGUUGCUAACUUCAUCAGUAGCGUGAUACAGCAGGUUCCAGAGCCUUAUCAGUAAAACAACAACAACAAUCUGAAAUUAAAGUGGUAAAUUGUCAUUUCAGUCUCCUCAAACUCUAACAAACUGUAAAGGCAGAUUUCUCUGCGUUUCUCCCCCUCUUUGCUCGCUGUCCAUAUCGUCUGUAGAAGGCUGUUUUGUCUCAUCAUAUUGAUUUGCCAGCCUCUCUACAAUCAGCCUGACCGAGUCACCUCACAGUUCCACUCUUCUCGCCCAGGUGCUUUCAUCCGUCCCUCAACUUUGUAAACAGCUGAAUUAUUUGGCAUUCAGCACUGGUCCCCGCCACCCAAGCGGCGAGCAUUUUUCCCCUCUUGUGUGUCCUAUCGCUUUAACCGGAUGGCAUGUUUCACUUCGCCUGACUUAAUGACACAGCCUGACAAGGAGGGCAAUUACUGUUUUCCCAUGCUGCACAAAAUGCAGGGCCCGUCUCAAAAGGCUUGUUGUGCAGACGCCAUCAGGUGUGAUUGCUCAGUCUCCAGCGAAGGCAUGAGAUGAGCUGAUGGUGAACGUGAUGCUGGUUGGAGCCUUCAUUUCAUCCCAGGUCUGACUUUUGGUUGAAACUUGAAUCAUAUCCUCUGAUGUGCUCUGUAAUAUGUGUGUUGGCAGCCUUAUUUUCAGUGCAUGGUUUAAUGUGGACAUAGCCUCUUAAAUUCAGGUAUAGCUUACACUGGGCUGCUGGCCCAUUGCACCAGCAUUGCUCUGCCCUCUCAGUAAAGGCUCAAAAGACAAAAUAAACACACUGGACUCAAGUUGCAUCUCAAUGAUCCAUUUUACUGCCAAACAAUCUUCACUUGAAGUGAGACAGCGUCCCUCACCCUCCCUCCUCUGCUUCCAUGUCUUUCUAAUUAUACACCUCCUGCUCUUUAGGGCCGAAUCAGUCUGAAACUCUCUCUGCAGGUGGCUGUUCGUACUUCCUUUUAAUCAACACGCUGAGUAAGCAAGAGAGCGACUGGGAGCUCUUGAGCAAGUUAUUCAUUUCUCUGGCGAUGAAUAAGUUCUUCCUCAUGUGCCAUGUUUAUUUACCAGAGUCUGUAAAACACCUGCUCACGCUCACCAUGUUCAAAACAAAAGGAUCAGACGCUCGGCUCUGGUUGUGCUUUGAGUUUGUUGCUGGUGAGUCUCACUGGAGCUGUUACACUCUUUGGUUGUUGGUUAUUGCUUGUGUGCAUAAAAACUCACCCCAGGCAUCAAUAUAUAUCCCCCAUGCAAUCUCCCAGUUGCAGCACAGAACUCCCUCUUUCAUCCUCUUCUCCCUAAAUUGAGCAUUUUCUGCACUGCAUGUUAGCACUUCCAUGCACGGCUCCAGGCGGAGAGCUGCCUCUCUGCUGCUCUGCACUAUCUGCUGAGAACCGAGAGGGAUCCAGGCUGACUUAGAUUUGCCCCCAGUGGUCUGAGGAGAGCUUGGUCGCCACUUGACAACCCUGCAAGGCCCUGCUGCGUAUGUGAGUGUGUGUGUGUAUGUGUGUGUGCCUGUUGCUCCAGUUUAUCACACUCCAGCAGGUCUGCACCAGGAGAGGAAUUCAUAUACAGCACAAGCUCCUCAUUUGACUCUUGAUAUUUGACCUCGGGUUAUAAAAUACAGAUGCAGCCCCACUGAACCAUUUGGCAAGAUUAAUAACUUCAAACAGUCUUGCUGUUCACUUAUUACAAAAUCAGGUCAGUGUAUCUGUUAUGUGCUCAGUGCUGCUCUGUUUUGCAUCAACAUAGCAAAACACAGAGCAGAAGAAAGUAACAAGUCAUCUAUCUCUGAGGCCAGCAUGUGAGCAUUUAAAGUAGAUUUCAAAUCAUGCAUGUACUGACACAAUUCUUGUACUUGUGCAUGUACAGAUGAUGCAGAUACACAGCAGUGGAGUGAAGCUAUGAUUGGUGAGAUUCCCUGAGAAAGUCUGGUCCAGGAACCAUCAUUACAAACCCCCCAUAUUGCAUAAUAUACUUCCCCCUUAUUACAUCCAGGAAAAAUGCUUGAAAUUUUUUUUUUUUUUUUUUUUCUCAGUGUGUUUUCUCCCUCAGCUCUUCCCCUAAUUCAAAGAGAAUUGCCUAAUGAUGAUGGUCUCCUCUAAACAGCAUCUAUGUUUAGCACCCUUAACACUUGAAUUGUGCCUCGCAGCCUCGCAGCCUCGCAGCCUCGCAGCCUCACAGCCUCACAGCCUCACAGCCUUUUCCACAGUUCUCGGAGAAGCAGCAUUAUCACAGCUCACUCAUACAGUAGGAGGCUGAAAGUUCAACAAGCGAAGCGGGAAAUUUCUGUGCUUGUUAAUUUUAGCUCCAAUGAGCAGCAAGUGAAAAAAAUCACUGGAUUAAGGAAAAAUAGUUCCUAGUAAAGUUAAUUGACACAACUUGAGGACUCAGUUUUUUGGGGGGCUACAUAUCUUUCAAACACCAGGUUCUUGGUGGGCAGCAGUGUAUUUACAUGUUCGUUAAUCAGGAUUGAGAAAGCUUUCUCUGUGAUUGUCGCACCCUGUAAAGCCGGAUUUUGCAGCAGCGUUAUAAAAAGACUGCAAUGCACUUCAUUGUUGCGGCCUGGGUAUCACAUUAUUCAAACUGUAGGCAACUGGCACAAACACUCGUACAAUCUACUGGCUGGGCAGCUGUUUGAGGACUUAGUCAAAUAUGUGAAAACAAAGUGGAGAGUGGUUAAAAUUGCACGACUGCAAAAAAAGAUGCACCGGUUGGUUAAAUGUUAUCUGAAGUAUCUGAAUGCACUGAUGGUUGUCCAGCGAAGACAAAGUCCUCAUCUUGAUCCAUUCUGCCACGAAACCUCAACCUGAGCUUGAAUGUCCUCUGCAUAUUCACCAGAAACUACAUCUUGUCCCCCUGUGCUGUUUCAUACAUGGUAAUACAGCCUCAGUUGAACACAGACAAUGACAAUAGUUGAGGGCAGAAAGACUCUGCCCUUGACAUACAGAGCAGGUGAUUUUAGGAGAAAUGUCAAAGGAAAAAGCACCGGGAAAAGCUUCUCCUCCUCUGUCAUUAUUGGCAUUUGUAAAGAAAUUACUAUCUUACAAGGUGUAGAGGGGUGCAGGAAAUACCAUCUUGGACCCUUUUUUCAGAUUUCGUCAGCUUUUGUCAAUAAGCUUGUGUCAAAAGUAAGAAAGCCUGAACAAAAAGAAAGUCGAUCUUUAAACACUGAUCCCUGUUCAUAUACAGACAUGAUUAGAUCUAUGGGAAUAAUCAGCACCAAUCAGACCAAUCAGCUUUCUGUGCUAUAUUUACCCUAGGAUGUGACAAAAGACGAGAUAGGAUGAUUGACAGUAAAAUCAUAAUCUUGACAUGAACAACUGGGCAGGAGAAAAGAUAGCUAAAAAAGAUUCAAGAGAUUUAUAUUCAAACUCUGUGGGCCCAUUUAAACUAUUUAAAAUGCAUGUGCUGUGCAAUCACUUUUUGAAGGCUAAAGACCCACUCUGAUGAAAAUCAUGUUUUUCUUGUUGUCUACAUGUUCAUAUGUCUUUGGCCUGUGCAGGAUUCAAGUCAAGCUGGUGUGUGAUGAGAGAAUCCAUAUUUAUGUAGUUAACAUGGAGGUUGCAGGACUCAGUUAUUUAAAUGUUUUGGCUUCACUUUUUAGGAGCUGUCAUGUCUUUCUGUACUGUCUAUGAUGAAUUCCAGCACUGACUACAGGAUCCUUGUGCUGUAAUUGACAUGUCUAGCAUUUGAUUGGCUAACUAAACAUGUAGGUAUCUUCACCUUCCUCAGGUCAGCAUACUGUGGUAGUAACCUAAUCUCCCAUCCGUUUUCAAGACUCAAAGAUUUUAAAGGAAUGUGUGGCCAAACUGACCUUUAGCAAAGGCAUUUUAUAGAUAUUUACAGACUGAUGUUUACAAUGGAAAGGCCUUUUUAAGGUUAGAUGGGCAUUAUGUUACAUUCUUGACUAUGUCUUGGCAUCUGGUCAGCUUAGCUUUGAUUCUUGUGUCGCUCUUUGAGUCAUAUUUUUGAUAUUCAAGGUGAGAGACACUUCUGGAGACAAUAACAUGCUUUAAGGACAAGUCAGUCUAGUUUAAUCUUCUAUUUUUGUCGCUUCAAGGUCCCUGCAUAUUUGGAGAUUCAUAUCACUUGUAAGAGCUGCUGUAUAGAUCUGUACUGACACCCCUGAUGCCAGUUUCUUUUCUGUUUUCAUGUACGACAACACCAUUAAAAUGAAUUCCAUUAUGAUUUUGCUUUUUCAAAGGGAGCUCACGUCCAACAAUAUCUUCCCAAUCUUCCCAGCUCUAAGCAACAACCUUCACACUGACUUUGGCGUCAGGUUGGAAAAGUGAGAUCGCUCCUCCGCUGAUAAGAUUCAAUCAGAUAAGGGUGAAAUCUAGUGGGCCAUCUCAGUCUCUCUGCACUAUGUCCCCAAAGGAAU
Molecule: non-coding RNA, 6990 nt
Organism: Xyrichtys novacula (pearly razorfish)
Lineage: Eukaryota; Metazoa; Chordata; Actinopteri; Labriformes; Labridae
Source: the annotation of a GenBank genome assembly